RNAcentral lists this ribosomal RNA (573 nucleotides) under uncultured Comamonadaceae bacterium. RNAcentral describes it as "bacterial SSU rRNA". It matches the Rfam family "Bacterial small subunit ribosomal RNA", at positions 928 to 1501 of the family's 1533-position model. Lineage: Bacteria; Pseudomonadati; Pseudomonadota; Betaproteobacteria; Burkholderiales; Comamonadaceae. The record is from RNAcentral.
AGCGGUGGAUGAUGUGGUUUAAUUCGAUGCAACGCGAAAGACCUUACCUACCUUUGACAUGUACGGAACUCGCCAGAGAUGGCUUGGUGCUCGAAAGAGAACCGUAACACAGGUGCUGCAUGGCUGUCGUCAGCUCGUGUCGUGAGAUGUUGGGUUAAGUCCCGCAACGAGCGCAACCCUUAUCAUUAGUUGCUACAUUUAGUUGGGCACUCUAAUGAGACUGCCGGUGACAAACCGGAGGAAGGUGGGGAUGACGUCAAGUCCUCAUGGCCCUUAUAGGUAGGGCUACACACGUCAUACAAUGGCUGGUACAAAGGGUUGCCAACCCGCGAGGGGGAGCUAAUCCCAUAAAGCCAGUCGUAGUCCGGAUCGUAGUCUGCAACUCGACUACGUGAAGUCGGAAUCGCUAGUAAUCGUGGAUCAGAAUGUCACGGUGAAUACGUUCCCGGGUCUUGUACACACCGCCCGUCACACCAUGGGAGCGGGUUCUGCCAGAAGUAGUUAGCCUAACCGCAAGGAGGGUGAUUACCACGGCAGGGUUCGUGACUGGGGUGAAGUCGUAACAAGGUAACC